GUUAUGGGGUUUGUCUUAGGUCACAAAGCCUGUCAACAGCAAAGCCAGAGUGUGACCUCAGGUCUUUGGGGAUGUGUAGUAUGCCCCCUUCCUGCCUGACUUCCUCUUUUUUCUUCCCUUUCCUUCCUGUCUUCCUUCUGUCCUUUCUUAUUUCCUGUUACCAAGCCAUCGUUGCAAAAUUCAGGGAAGACCAGACCACACUUCGGAUACAGGGGAAUUCUCAGUGUAUUGAGGGCUGAAAAAAAACGACCACCUGGGGGCGUGUAUGAAGGAUGAGGGCAGCUCAUGAAUAUUCAUUACCACCUACACACAAGCACAGCGCCCCAUCUGGCCAACCCUGGAAUCACAGCUGUGUGUUGGUUUCCUUUAAUCAGGGGUUUUGUGACUCUGAGCCUGUGUGGGCUUUGCCUGCUCCCUUUUAACUCGUCGUCUAGACAAGUUCAUCUGACAACGCCUGAGAUCUAUCCUGGCAGGAAUGUGAGGAGAGUUUCCUCUCAUUAUCCAAAUAAAUAGCCAAGGUUCUAGAAAGAGACAUGCCUGAUGCUUCCGUUUUCAUGGCAAAUGAACAAUAAUGUCACUUGCUGGUUAGCAUUGCUCAGAGCUGCCCCUGACGGGGGUUGGAGAGAGGGGCCACUUACCCUGAAGAUGAGAGUGGAAGCUAAUGAAGAGAGUGUCUCCUGAGCCUGCCUAACUCCACGUCUCUCACUGCAGUGCAGUGUCUCCUCAAGACUUACGAUUACUCAAUGGCCCCUGAAAUAAAUAGACACAUAAAUAAAA
Long non-coding RNA from Mastomys coucha (southern multimammate mouse), 777 nucleotides. RefSeq lists it as uncharacterized. The record is from RefSeq and is a predicted model, not a curated record. NCBI's taxonomy places the organism in Eukaryota, Metazoa, Chordata, Mammalia, Rodentia, Muridae. The transcript is spliced from 3 exons.